CCCUUAGAUGUUCUGGGCCGCACGCGCGCUACACUGAUGCAUUCAACGAGCCUAUCCUUGACCGACAGGUCCGGGUAAUCUUUGAAUCUGCAUCGUGACGGGGAUAGAUUAUUGCAAUUAUUAAUCUUCAACGAGGAAUGCCUAGUAGGCGCAAGUCAUCAGCUUGCGUCGAUUACGUCCCUGCCCUUUGUACACACCGCCCGUCGCUCCUACCGAUUGAGUGGUCCGGUGAGGCUUUGGGAUCUGAGCGGAAAGAGCGUUUCGCUGUUUCUGCUCGGAAAACUCAGUCGAACCUCAUCAUUUAGAGGAAGGAGAAGUCGUAACA
RNAcentral lists this ribosomal RNA (325 nucleotides) under uncultured eukaryote. RNAcentral describes it as "partial 18S ribosomal RNA". It matches the Rfam family "Eukaryotic small subunit ribosomal RNA", at positions 1470 to 1796 of the family's 1831-position model. The record is from RNAcentral.